Molecule: long non-coding RNA, 263 nt
Organism: Sceloporus undulatus (fence lizard)
Lineage: Eukaryota; Metazoa; Chordata; Lepidosauria; Squamata; Phrynosomatidae
Exons: 3
Source: RefSeq, a predicted model, not a curated record
GCAGUGGCGUUUCCCUGCCCCGAGGAGAGAUGGAGGGCUAGCUAGUGCGUUGUGGGAGAUGUAGUCCUCCAAGGGGUUCUCAGGCUUCUGGGGGAUCUAGGCCUCAGAGCCUCUAGCCAUGCUGAAAUGGGGAUGAUGGGAGUUGCAAUGUAUUCUCCGGACUCGAUGAAGCCGCCAUUGUUGCACGCGAUGCCGCCGGUCGCCAGGGACAGAAUUAUCACCCGGUUCCCAAAGUGGUACACCUGAGCAGUGUUCGAGUUCAA